CGCAAGCCUGACGGAGCAAGACCGCGUGGGGGAGGAAAGCCUUUGGGUUGUAAACCCCUUUUCUCAGGGAAGAAGAAAGUGACGGUACCUGAGGAAUCAGCCUCGGCUAACUCCGUGCCAGCAGCCGCGGUAAUACGGAGGAGGCAAGCGUUAUCCGGAAUGAUUGGGCGUAAAGCGUUCGUAGGUGGCGAUUCAAGUCUGCUGUCAAAGACAGUAGCUCAACUACUGAAAGGCAGUGGAAACUGAAUGGCUAGAGUGCGGUAGGGGCAGAGGGAAUUCCCGGUGUAGCGGUGAAAUGCGUAGAGAUCGGGAAGAACACCGGUGGCGAAAGCGCUCUGCUGGGCCGCAACUGACACUGAGGGACGAAAGCUAGGGGAGCG
This 380-nucleotide ribosomal RNA is filed under the name uncultured cyanobacterium. RNAcentral's name for it is "bacterial SSU rRNA". It matches the Rfam family "Bacterial small subunit ribosomal RNA", at positions 376 to 770 of the family's 1533-position model. Lineage: Bacteria; Bacillati; Cyanobacteriota. The record is from RNAcentral.